GGCUCCUUGAAUAGGCUUUAAUAAGGAGUCUUACCUGCCCAGUGAUGAAAUUUUUAACGGCCGCGGUACUCUGACCGUGCAAAGGUAGCAUAAUCAUUUGCCUUAUAAUUGAAGGCUAGUAUGAAGGGUUUGAUGAGGGUUAAGCUGGCUCCUAUUAAUUAAAAUGAAAUUAGCUUUUAGGUGCAAAGACCUAAAUUAAAUUAAAAGACAAGAAGACCCUAUUGAGCUUUGAAAAUCCUGUGAUAUAUAAUGUUACAACUUAGUUGGAUUGGAGUUCACUAAUUUUUCUUAGUUGGGGCGACUCUGGAACAAUCAAAACUUCCAGAAACUUUUUAGAUAAGACAAUUUCAAUUUAUUUAAAUUUGAUCCAAAAUGUUUUGAUUAAUAGAAUAAGUUACCAUAGGGAUAACAGCAUAAUCUUUUUUGAGAGCUCUAAUCGAAAAAAAGGUUUGUGACCUCGAUGUUGGACUAGAAUAUCCUAAAGGUGCAGAAGCUUUUGAAGGUUGGUCUGUUCGACCAUUAAAAUUCU
This 529-nucleotide ribosomal RNA is filed under the name Lanistes purpureus. Its description in RNAcentral is "partial large subunit ribosomal RNA". It matches the Rfam family "Bacterial large subunit ribosomal RNA", at positions 1817 to 2597 of the family's 2925-position model. The record is from RNAcentral. Lineage: Eukaryota; Metazoa; Mollusca; Gastropoda; Architaenioglossa; Ampullariidae.